UACGUAGGGGGCAAGCGUUGUCCGGAAUCAUUGGGCGUAAAGAGCGCGUAGGCGGUCCGGUAAGUCCGCUGUGAAAGUCAAGGGCUCAACCCUUGAAUGCCGGUGGAUACUGUCGGGCUAGAGUCCGGAAGAGGCGAGUGGAAUUCCUGGUGUAGCGGUGAAAUGCGCAGAUAUCGGGAGGAACACCAAUGGCGAAGGCAGCUCGCUGGGACGGUACUGACGCUGAGGCGCGAAAGCGUGGGGAGCAAACAGG
This 253-nucleotide ribosomal RNA is filed under the name uncultured bacterium. Its description in RNAcentral is "partial 16S ribosomal RNA". It matches the Rfam family "Bacterial small subunit ribosomal RNA", at positions 524 to 776 of the family's 1533-position model. The record is from RNAcentral.